AAGUCGUAACAAGGUUUCCGUAGGUGAACCUGCGGAAGGAUCAUUAGUAUAGAACAAUUGUUUUUAAGCAACUGCUAUGCAUUUUCUACCCCAACUGCGUAUUUUUCCUGUUGCUUCCGUACUGCGUGGACUUUGGUCCCCUCUUACUGUAUCUUUAAGUAUGGUUCAGAGUGUCGGUACGGCAGAUAUUCGUCAAACACCAUGCAUUUCAUGUCAUUGAGUCUGAACAGUUAAUAGCAAAAAGUUAAAACUUUCAACAACGGAUCUCUUGGUUCUCGCAUCGAUGAAGAACGCAGCGAAAUGCGAUAAGUAGUGUGAAUUGCAGAAUUCAGUGAAUCAUCGAAUCUUUGAACGCACAUUGCGCCUUCUUGUAUUCAGGGAGGCAUGCCUGUCCGAGUGUCAUUAAAUAUCACUCAAGCUCUUUUGCUUGGUCUUGGAAGGAAGAGUCCGCUGGUUUGUCUCUCUUCCGAAAUGUAAUGGCCGAAGCCCUCAUGCACCUGGCGUAGUAAUUACUAUUCGCUUGGGUCUUGAAACAUUCCUGUCAGCCCAACCAAUUUUUUCUAGUUUGACCUCGGAUCAGGUAGGGAUACCCGCUGAACUUAGGCAUAUCAAUAAGCGGAGGAAAAGAAACCAACAGGGAUUGCCUUAGUAACUGCGAGUGAAGCGGCAAAAGCUCAAAUUUGAAAUCUGAUGUCUUUGACGUCCGAGUUGUAAUUUGGAGGGAUAUCUUCGGGGUUGGUGUCGUCCUAAGUUUCUUCGAACAGGACAUCAUAGAGGGUGAGAAUCCCGUGCCUGGAUGGCCGUCCAACUCCAUGUGAAGUGUCUCCGACGAGUCGAGUUGUUUGGGAAUGCAGCUCAAAAUGGGUGGUAAAUUUCAUCUAAAGCUAAAUAUUGGCGAGAGACCGAUAGCGCACAAGUAGAGUGAUCGAAAGAUGAAAAGCACUUUGAAAAGAGAGUUAAAAAGUACGUGAAAUUGUUGAAAGGGAAGCGCUUGCGACCAGACUUGAUCUUUGGUGAUCAGCCGGACUUUGGUUUGGUGCCCUUGCCAUUGAUUGGGCCAGCAUCGGUUCUGACGGCGGGAUAAAAGGAGGAGGAAUGUGGCUCCCCUCGGGGAGUGUUAUAGCCACCUCCACAAUGCCGCCAGUUGGGACCGAGGACCGCGCUUCGGCUAGGAUGCUGGUGUAAUGGUCUUAAGCGACC
RNAcentral lists this ribosomal RNA (1200 nucleotides) under uncultured fungus. Its description in RNAcentral is "eukaryotic LSU rRNA". The stretch from base 567 to 1200 matches the Rfam family "Eukaryotic large subunit ribosomal RNA", at positions 1 to 649 of the family's 3401-position model. The record is from RNAcentral. Lineage: Eukaryota; Fungi.